UCGGGAAUUUUGGGCAAUGGGCGAAAGCCUGACCCAGCAACGCCGCGUGAAGGAUGAAGUCUCUCGGGAUGUAAACUUCGUAAGAAUAGGAAGAAUAAAUGACGGUACUAUUUAUAAGGUCCGGCUAACUACGUGCCAGCAGCCGCGGUAAUACGUAGGGACCAAGCGUUGUUCGGAUUUACUGGGCGUAAAGGGCGCGUAGGCGGCAAUUCAAGUCAUCUGUGAAAUCUCCGGGCUUAACUCGGAACGGUCAGAUGAUACUGUCGCGCUAGAGUGCAGAAGGGGCAAUCGGAAUUCUUGGUGUAGCGGUGAAAUGCGUAGAUAUCAAGAGGAACACCUGAGGUGAAGACGGGUUGCUGGGCUGACACUGACGCUGAGGCGCGAAAGCCAGGGGAGCAAACGGGAUUAGAUACCCAAGUAGUCCCUGAGCGGGCUGGCAAGGCGCAU
Molecule: ribosomal RNA, 447 nt
Filed under: uncultured bacterium
Lineage: Bacteria
Description: bacterial SSU rRNA
Rfam family: Bacterial small subunit ribosomal RNA
Source: RNAcentral